GCCGACUUCCUUUCUCCUCCACUUGGCCCAGAUAGGUUUUACUUCGGGUGACCAGAGUGUUCAAACUCACCCAGACUCUUCUCGGCUAAAUUCUGUGCUUCUUCCCUCCUGUGUUCAAGCCCAGCUGGUUGGGGUCUGCUUCUGCACCCAGACCACUGGACAGUACCGUGGCGCCUCUGUCACAGCUCUCCUGCAUGCAGCUCAACCCCACCUCCGCCCCCCGACCCAGGACUGGCACCCCGGCCUCCGCAACCCUGUCCAGAAUUUACAGCUUUCUCCCGAACUGGCCGUGUGGAAGCCGACAGCUUGACUUGAGCGCUGAGCCUGGUGAGGGAAAGAACUCUUGCAGGGAGAGGCAAGUCUUUAAAUCCCAUGUGCAGCAGUGCCCGGACAUCUGGCAAGUCCCGCACUGUACUUCGAGGAGACAGAAACAUGAGCAAGACACAGAGGCCCUGCACUAAGACAAGUGUGCACAGCCACCCAGCAUAGGGCAGAGGGUGACAAGCACCCUAAAAUGCACCUGAUCCAGAGGGCAGAGCGACUGCGUCCAGC
This 552-nucleotide long non-coding RNA is filed under the name Fukomys damarensis (Damara mole-rat). RNAcentral describes it as "lncRNA (ENSFDAG00000033063.1)". The record is from RNAcentral. Lineage: Eukaryota; Metazoa; Chordata; Mammalia; Rodentia; Bathyergidae.